Molecule: unclassified non-coding RNA, 348 nt
Filed under: soil metagenome
Description: partial contains 5.8S ribosomal RNA, internal transcribed spacer 2, and large subunit ribosomal RNA
Rfam family: 5.8S ribosomal RNA (bases 1-119)
Source: RNAcentral
GAUGAAGAACGCAGCGAAAUGCGAUAAGUAAUGUGAAUUGCAGAAUUCAGUGAAUCAUCGAGUCUUUGAACGCACAUUGCGCCCCCUGGUAUUCCGGGGGCAUGCCUGUCCGAGCGUCAUUGCUGCCCUCAAGCACGGCUUGUGUGUUGGGCCCCCGCCCCCCGGUCCCGGGGGGCGGGCCCGAAAGGCAGCGGCGGCACCGCGUCCGGUCCUCGAGCGUAUGGGGCUUUGUCACCCGCUCUGUAGGCCCGGCCGGCGCCCGCCGGCGACCCCAAUCAAUCUUUUUCAGGUUGACCUCGGAUCAGGUAGGGAUACCCGCUGAACUUAAGCAUAUCAAUAAGCGGAGGA